UCCACUUGCAAUUUAAUAAACUGCAGUUCAAAAUCCCUUUUCCACCUGCAAUUUAAUAAACUGCAGUUCAAAAUCCAUUUCCCUUUCCUGUUCGCUCCGGGAUUAGCUGCUGGAUUAGCUGCUGGAUUAGCUCUUCGAUUAACAACUUGCUGGAGGCUAUUCAAAUUAGCCACACCGUGGGAUGUAAGGAGCUCUCUGAUUGGUUGGUCAGACACAGGCUGUCUGCCAGCCUGGAUUUUUCUAGCUCAUAGCUUCGCCCUGCUAAGAAGCGUGUGUGCUUGUACAAAGGCCGUUCAGCCUCGGGAUUUACACUCGGCUCGACACGGAUAUGUGAAGAAUGAAGGGACCCUGCAGCGAAACGGAGAGCGCAACCUCUGACUGAGUGCCUGUCUACACAGUCUGACCACCUGUUGAAGGGCUGUUUGAUGACGAUUUGGACUCCUCUGGGAGAUGAGGACACACCCACAUCUGUUCCAUACUGCAGCCAUGGAUGGUGUUACAGCUCCGAGUCAGCUUUGGGCCAUCAGACGCACACACUGGAAAACCAGCACCUGGACUUCAUGCAGGAGAGAUGGCCUCAGUGAUGUAGGUUCAUAAAAUUCAUCAGCAGCUGUGAAGAGAUGCAUUUGAAUAUCUUCUGGUUCCACUUUUCCUAACCUGGAAGCUGAGGAUGGCUGAUUUCUGACAAGGACACACACCUCAGCG
Molecule: long non-coding RNA, 705 nt
Organism: Pelmatolapia mariae (spotted tilapia)
Lineage: Eukaryota; Metazoa; Chordata; Actinopteri; Cichliformes; Cichlidae
Exons: 3
Source: RefSeq, a predicted model, not a curated record